Non-coding RNA from Dermacentor albipictus, 437 nucleotides. Lineage: Eukaryota; Metazoa; Arthropoda; Arachnida; Ixodida; Ixodidae. The record is from RefSeq and is a predicted model, not a curated record.
CUUUAUUGCUGCACGAUGACCAAGCGCCCGGUCGCAUCGAACGUUCCGUGAUUGCCAAGCACAAAGGCUUCUUAAAUCUGCCGGCGUUGUUUCUACUUCAGCGCUCCUCGUUUGGGCUGAAACCUGAACAGGCCACAGCUGUAGGCUUGCCAAGGCUGCCACUACCUCCUCCGGUCGAACGUCAAUUUAGCGGAGGCAGAAUUGCGCACACUGCACCAGGCGACGCCACCUUCUUAAGGAUCUUCGAGUUCCUUGCCUGUCCCGAAAUCGAGGGAGCCCAUUGUCAUGUUCGAGGGUCUACUUCUCGCGUUGGCCUUCUUUUGUCUCGUCUGCCACACCAAUGGGCUUAGAGUUGACGAUGCUGAUGGAGGAUACAUCGACCUACUAGUCUCCAUCCACCCAGAAACCAGUCCAAAUGAAGUGAUUGUCGACAACCU